GAUGAACGCUGGCGCCGUGCCUAACACAUGCAAGUCGAACGGACAUUUUUUGGAAAGCUCUUCGGAACUGGAAUCUAAAUGUUAGUGGCGGACGGGUGAGUAACGCGUGAGCAAUCUGCCUUUCAGAGGGGGAUAACAGCCGGAAACGGCUGCUAAUACCGCAUAAUGCAUUGGAUUCGCAUGUUUCUGAUGCCAAAGAUUUUAUCGCUGAAAGAUGAGCUCGCGUCUGAUUAGCUAGUUGGCGGGGUAACGGCCCACCAAGGCGACGAUCAGUAGCCGGACUGAGAGGUUGAACGGCCACAUUGGGACUGAGACACGGCCCAGACUCCUACGGGAGGCAGCAGUGGGGAAUAUUGCGCAAUGGGGGCAACCCUGACGCAGCAACGCCGCGUGAUUGAUGAAGGUCUUCGGAUUGUAAAAAUCUUUAAUCAGGGACGAAGAAAAUGACGGUACCUGAAGAAUAAGCUCCGGCUAACUACGUGCCAGCAGCCGCGGUAAUACGUAGGGAGCAAGCGUUAUCCGGAUUUACUGGGUGUAAAGGGCGUGUAGGCGGGCUUGCAAGUUGGAAGUGAAAUCUCGGGGCUUAACCCCGAAACUGCUUUCAAAACUGCGAGUCUUGAGUGAUGGAGAGGCAGGCGGAAUUCCCAGUGUAGCGGUGAAAUGCGUAGAUAUUGGGAGGAACACCAGUGGCGAAGGCGGCCUGCUGGACAUUAACUGACGCUGAGGCGCGAAAGCGUGGGGAGCAAACAGG
RNAcentral lists this ribosomal RNA (751 nucleotides) under uncultured bacterium. RNAcentral's name for it is "bacterial SSU rRNA". It matches the Rfam family "Bacterial small subunit ribosomal RNA", at positions 28 to 776 of the family's 1533-position model. The record is from RNAcentral.